CGCCGCUGGAUGCUGAUGAAAGAUGCCUUCUCAGGAUGCUCCAGCAUCAGCAAGAUAGAACAGGGUCUCCGUGUCCAGGUCUUCCUGUUAGAGAAGAAGGAGGGUACCUGUGGACUUCGCCUCUCUACCAACAGCAGCCACGCCCUGUACUCUCUGGAGGUGCAGCUUCUGCAGGUUCUCCCUGGCUUCAUCAGCAAUGACUCCACAAUGCUCAGCUUCAGCUGCACGUAUACCCUGGUGGUGAAUGUCAGCCAGACCCACCCCUACCAGAUAUAGCACCAUCCAUGUUCUGGGCACUGGGGACACCAUCAUCAUCUUGGGCAUCUUCACAGACCUUCAGCUCUUAACUCUGCUUGAAAACAGAACUGUUCCUCUUGGCAUGCCCUUCUACGUAGUCCUCAAGACAAUAAGCAGUGAUUUGCCCUGGUGGUCAGUGAGGUCUUUGCCAGCACCAACAUCUCCAGGACAGGUGCUGUUAAGGCCACCUACCACUUUGUGAACAAGAGGCAAGGGUCAGUCAGGCCUGGUAACCUCCUGUGAGUGCCAGACCAGCCCCUGGAUUUGGCUUGUGCUGUGUGCUUUUAUACCCUCGAGCACAGAUUCUGUCACUCUUCUUGGUAUCCCUGGCAUGCAAACACUGGAAGAAACUGCCCCGUCAGCAACCGGCUGC
Molecule: long non-coding RNA, 670 nt
Filed under: Homo sapiens (human)
Lineage: Eukaryota; Metazoa; Chordata; Mammalia; Primates; Hominidae
Description: non-protein coding lnc-CEP85-2:1
Source: RNAcentral